CCCUUAGAUGUUCUGGGCUGCACACGUGCUACACUGGCAGGUUCAGCGAGCUUCAUGCCCUGAUCUGAAAGGAAUGGGAAAUCUUUUCAAAACCUGGCGUGCUUGGGAUAGAUGUUUGCAAUUAUUCAUCUUCAACGAGGAUUGCCUUGUAAGCGCACGUCAUCAGCGUGCAUUGAAUACGACCCUGUAUUCUGUACACACCGCCCGUCGCUCCUACCGAUUGAAGUUUUCGGUGAGUUGACAGGAGGAUUUUUUUGAAACUGGUUCGCCAGUGGAUUUUAGAUCCAAAUGCCAACGAAUCGAUGGCUUUAGAGGAAGGAGAAGUCGUAACA
RNAcentral lists this ribosomal RNA (332 nucleotides) under uncultured eukaryote. RNAcentral's name for it is "partial 18S ribosomal RNA". It matches the Rfam family "Eukaryotic small subunit ribosomal RNA", at positions 1470 to 1796 of the family's 1831-position model. The record is from RNAcentral.